UACGAAGGGGGCUAGCGUUGUUCGGAAUUACUGGGCGUAAAGGGCGCGUAGGCUGUGCUGUAAGUCAGGCGUGAAAGCCCCGGGCUCAACCUGGGAAUUGCGCUUGAUACUGCGGCGCUGGAAGGUGGGAGAGGAUGGCGGAAUUCCCAGUGUAGAGGUGAAAUUCGUAGAUAUUGGGAAGAACACCGGUGGCGAAGGCGGCAAUCUGGCCCAUUUUUGACGCUGAGGCGCGAAAGCGUGGGGAGCAAACAGG
Molecule: ribosomal RNA, 253 nt
Filed under: uncultured bacterium
Lineage: Bacteria
Description: partial 16S ribosomal RNA
Rfam family: Bacterial small subunit ribosomal RNA
Source: RNAcentral